GAAAGCGAUCAGACAAAAGAGAGAAAGAAAGACAAGAAAAAAAAUCAAAAUGAGAGAAGCUACGACGACGUUUCACAAACUCGAAACUCUGUAAAACCCUUGAUAGAAACCUUAUCAAAAUCAUUAAUAAACAUCACAAUUUCAGUCUCUAGCAAGAGAAAAAUGUAUCGAGCCAUCUGCUCAUAUGCCUCCAAAGAGUUAAUACCCACAUAAUUUCACACGAAAUCAGAUUGAAAAAAGAGAGGGAUUCAACAAAGGAAAACCUAACACAAACAAUCACUAACAAGCAAGAGCAAACAGGAACCGAUCAUCAUCGUCUCGAGAUAGAAUCUAGAAGCGUACUUGAAAAUCUCAAAUCAAAAGGAGAGUUGUACUUUCUCGGGAGAAACCUUUUCGCCUCUCCUCUUUUUUUUUUUUUUUUGUAAACUGCGUGCCAGCGCCUUUCCUCUGCUGCUUGGAUGAUGUUUAUAGUUCGCUUUAUCAAACUAACUUCCGUAAUCUUCUCCUACAUAUAAAAGAAACAAAAUCCCUGGCUUGAUUGUUUUAUAAUUUUAAAGUAUUGAUUCAACUUAUCCUAAUCUAAUAUAACAAAAAAAAAAAGAUACAGCAAUCGCCAUCAGAUACUCUUACUUGUGCAGACGCACUGAAAGAGAUAUUCACUUUUUCCUUGAAAUUAGCUGGUGGACAAGAAGGAAAUUCUGCUCUAGCCAAUGAAGCGACAGCAAUUGCCAUCAGUGUUUUGACACAAAACGUUGAUUGCUUUGAGCAAUGGGAUGUUCUCUACAAGGAGAAUCUUGAGGCUAGCGUUGCUCUUCUUAAAAAGCUUGUAGAGGAAUGGGAGGAUCAUUCCUUCAAACUAUCAUCAUCACCCAGUGAUACUCUCACUGUCAAGCAGGCUAUCAAUAGCUUCAGGAUGAAGAACGAAAAAGCCAUCACUGAAGGAGUAGCCAAUCUUUCUCUUUACAAAGAUGCUGACAAGUCGUGCAAACUAAUCUCGACGAGACUCUCCGCCUCUCCGGUGGCCCCGGAAUAGCACCACCCUUAACCGCUAUGGUUAUAGCAGCUGCAGAAGCCGUAUUAUUUUCCGUUAUAGAUCAUCAAAACUAAAACUUGUCCAUGU
Molecule: long non-coding RNA, 1120 nt
Organism: Raphanus sativus (radish)
Lineage: Eukaryota; Viridiplantae; Streptophyta; Magnoliopsida; Brassicales; Brassicaceae
Exons: 3
Source: RefSeq, a predicted model, not a curated record